Gasterosteus aculeatus aculeatus (three-spined stickleback) is the source of this 2046-nucleotide long non-coding RNA. The record is from Ensembl. Lineage: Eukaryota; Metazoa; Chordata; Actinopteri; Perciformes; Gasterosteidae.
CCCACCACCAUUAGUACACGUUAGCUUCCCCGUGCUGGUCUCAUCUACCCUGUUGUCACAACAAUGAUAUAUUUCUCUUUGUGGUUUUUCUCUGUUCGUUGUCAACGGUGCAAAAGGCUUUUUUACCUCCCACAUGAAGAACUCUUUUGAUCUCCAUUUUUCGGUCUUCCACGCCUCAUCUAUCACGGAACUUUUAAUAAAGGAGGUGACCCUUCAUGCCGUCGAUGUAAGACUCCAACAGGCCUCACGUUACAAGACCACACUCACUACGAGCGGCUCUGCUGACCCGUUUCGCCGGCGUCACUAAUCCAGCCAAAGGGGGAAUAACAUGUUGCAUGUGGCACAGUGAUCGGUCCAAACUGUCUCCAAGAUGUUGCCCACAAAGAUACAUGCGUGUUCCAGAUUGAGCCGAUCUACGAUCCUGCAUGUCUGCUCGUUGUAGAACCUCGAGAGAUCGAGAGCCCUUUUUGUUCCUUCUCGACGGCGUGUGUCUGAGAGACAGCAGGUGUUCAAAAGCCGCCACCUGAGUUUCUGUGCCGCUGGAAUUUCGUUACUCUAACAAUAACCCCCUGCCCCCACAUGAAAAACAUACAGUAUGUGCUUCUACAACAGGAGGGCUACUUGUCGGCCCCUCCUCCAUCUCCGCGGCAAUGGUUCACGUUUUAAGGACUACGGUAAUCUUUCGCUGGGAAGCUUCACUCGUUUCUGAAGUAGCAGCUGGACAGACGUUGCUCUCGCCCCGUCCUCGUCAAACCACUUCACAGGCCAUUCAAUUAGCUGCAGAAGCACGGGAGAUGGAGCCAUUACGGCGCUGAUGAGAUGCACAAGGACAGGUGACACUAAUCAGAGCGGCGCCCCAUUGUCUCUGUGUGGACAUCGCUGAGGAAAGAGAGUGAUUCCAGGCGGUUUUGCUUCCCUUUUCCCUCAAGCACACUCGAGCAAGCUGCAUGCAUUAGCUUCUUUUUGGUCAAUUUGCAAUAAGUGAAAAACAUACCGAUGGAAUGUGAAUGUGUUUGCCUCUAAAAUAGGUUUUAAAGUGUUCGAUCUCGUGACUGCCACGGCGAAGCUGUUGUCCGUGGGUACCAUCCACAGGAUUUACUCUCAACCCGUUUCCUGGUUACUGGUCCAGAAGAAGCCGAGACGUCCCCUCUUUCCUUUCGUCCACUUUCCCCCUCCGGUGAAGCGCGGCCUGCCUCUGCUGAGGCCUCGGACCGCUUUCAGCAGGCCAGGCUCGUCCCGUGCUCCUCGGGGCCUCUGGCCCGGAUCGUGAACGCGCUUUGCUCCGCCCGCCGGUAACAGCCGCUGAGGUAGCUGCACAGACACCUGAGGAAACACCACCCAAGUACAGACGUUAGGUGGGAACGGACUCGAGGGGCACGAGGUACGAUUGCUUCAGCCCACAUAUUUACCUAACCGCUGUGACGCAACCCCAAGGACUUAAUCCUAAUCUCAUUGCCAAGUCCCUCUCUGUAUCAACUGGGCCUUCGGAGUGUGUGGGAAACUACCCCUGGAAACCGGCCCUUUAGACCUUCGCUCCAUAUUAAUGUCAAUAAUAACAAUGAAUUUAAACUAUACAUUUUAUUCAAUCCUAUCUCAUAUAGAUUUCAUGUAUGUAUAUUUAAAUGGGGACACACGCUAUGUCAAUAAGAGGCGUUUGGAGGUGUUGUUAAGCAGGACUAUUCAAACCUUUGCCAACAAGCCAUUUGCACUGCUCCCAGUCUUUAUGCUAAGCUAAGCUAAACGUCUCCUGGUUUUACCUUCUCAUUUAACGGACUGAAUGGCUGAGGUUGACUUUUUCUUGCAGUGUACCAAAGAUCCGCUCUCCAGGGAAGGGAAGAUGUCAGCUGAAAUGUAUUUUUUCCAAUAUUCAGCUUCAACGGUAAACAAAGAGGCCCCUGAGGCCCCGCCUCCUCGCCUACCACCACGAUUGUUUAUUCAAAGUUCACGGAUAUUAAACAUGUCACCUGUUUAUAACCCAUUCAACGCUGCACUUCUUUGGUUACGAAGAACUAUAUUUUGCACGUGUGAAACAGAUUGAAGUAUAUA